This 133-nucleotide non-coding RNA is filed under the name Chloroflexus aurantiacus. RNAcentral describes it as "FMN sequence". It matches the Rfam family "FMN riboswitch aptamer (RFN element)". Rfam says of the family: The RFN element is a highly conserved domain that is found frequently in the 5'-untranslated regions of prokaryotic mRNAs that encode for flavin mononucleotide (FMN) biosynthesis and transport proteins. This element is a metabolite-dependent riboswitch that directly binds FMN in the absence of proteins. In Bacillus subtilis, the riboswitch most likely controls gene expression by causing premature transcription termination within the 5' untranslated region of the ribDEAHT operon and precluding access to the ribosome-binding site of ypaA mRNA. Lineage: Bacteria; Bacillati; Chloroflexota; Chloroflexia; Chloroflexales; Chloroflexaceae. RNAcentral also lists the same sequence under 1 other name. The record is from RNAcentral.
GAAGACCUUCGGGGCAAGGUGAAAUUCCUGAUCGGCGGUAAUGGUGGCGUGCCCACACAAGCCCGCGAGCCGUAAGGCAGGACCCGGUGUGAUUCCGGGGCCGACGGUAUAGUCCGGAUGGGAGAAGGUCGGC